Molecule: ribosomal RNA, 1070 nt
Filed under: Parvocaulis parvulus
Lineage: Eukaryota; Viridiplantae; Chlorophyta; Ulvophyceae; Dasycladales; Polyphysaceae
Description: SSU rRNA
Rfam family: Eukaryotic small subunit ribosomal RNA
Source: RNAcentral
CUUGUUUUAAAGAUUAAGCCAUGCACGUCUASGUAUAACGGCAUAUACUAGAAAACUGCGGACGGCUCAUUAAAUCAGUUAUAGUUUAUUUGAUGGUGAAAUUUUAUAUGGAUACCUGUAGGAAGUCUAGAGCUAAUACAUGUGUAAAUCCUGACUUAUGGAGGGACGYAUUUAUUAGUUUUAAGAUUGACAUACCUCGGUUGAUCCAUGAUAUUUGCACGGAUCGCACGGUUUUACGCCGGCGACUUUUCAUUCGAAUUUCUGCCCUAUCAAUUUACGAUGGUACGGUAGUGGCGUACCAUGAUUUUUACGGGURACGGAGGAUUAGGGUUUGAUUCCGGAGAGGGAGCCUUAGAGACGGCUACCACAUCCAAGGAAGGCAGCAGGCGCGAAAAUUACCCAAUGCAGACACUGUGAGGUAGUGACGAUAAAUAACAAUGUUGGGCUUUAAAAGUUUGGUAAUUGGAAUGAGAACAUUUUAAACAUCUUACCGAGGAUCUAUUGGAGGGCAAGUCUGGUGCCAGCAGCCGCGGUAAUUCCAGCUCCAAUAGCGUAUAUUUAAGUUGUUGCGGUUAAAAAGCUCGUAGUCGUAUUUCGGGCGUGCCCAUUGGUCCGUUCUUCAAGAAUGUGUAUCGGUAAGGUACGUCUUGUUGCACGAAGCGCGCUUCUGGGCUUCACUGCUCGGAACGUGGGUCGUGCGUUGUCACUUUGAGUAAAUUAGAGUGUUUAAAGCAGGCGUGCGCUCUGCAUAUUCCAGCAUGGGAUGACACGAUAGGACCUCGGUCCGUGCGUCGGUCUGCGGGUCCGAGGUAAUGAUCGAUAGAAACGAUCGGGGGCGUUCCUAUUUCGUUGUCAGAGGUGAAAUUCUUGGAUUUACGAAAGAGGAUCAAAUGCGAAAGCAUUCGCCAAGGGCGUUUUCGUUGAUCAAGAACGAAAGUUGGGGGAUCGAAGAUGAUUAGAUACCAUCCUAGUCUCAACCAUAAACUAUGCCGACUGGGGAUCGGCGGGUGUUCGAUUGCGACCUCGCCGGCACCCUGUGAGAAAUCAUUAGUGUAUGGGUUCCGGGGGUA